UUCAAAGCCGUUUAUCUACUCCCCUCUGUGGCAAAAGAAAAGCCUAGAUCCCCUAGUCUCUUUUACUUUUUCUUUUCAUUCCUCUAAAACCCUAAAACCAUUUUUUCCUUUAGAUUUAUUCCAUUUCUUUACACGUAGAGAAAACGGUGGAUGAUUCAGUUUGAACUUUCUGUCUCGAUCUUGUUUCUUUGUAUUAAGAGAUUUAGUGGAUCGAUUAAAAUAAAGGGUAUUUUUUUUUCUGCAAACGGAUAUCGUUAAGAUCUAUUAUUUCUGUCUGAACAGAGAAAUCGCAGUUUAUGACUUCAAUUCUUAUCUGUUAACUGCGUUUCUCUGUUUAGACAGAUGCAAUCGAUCGUAUUUUUCUUCUCCGCUUUACACAGUGAUGUAAUCUAAGGUUAGAUCUUCUGAGACUGACAAUAGACCAUGUUGGGAUUGUUUGUCUAUUUACCGUCUAUAAUAUGAUUCAUUGUAUUCUCGUUUUCGGUUAUCUGUUUUUGUACGAUUUGUUGUUUUGGGUUUGAUGUCACUGUAAUCUAAUGUCAGAACUUGCAAGAUAUCAGCACAUGGCGUGUUUGUUAGGUUGGUGUGCUGUGUGUUAACUAGUCACAAGGUUUGACUCCUCACUUCUACAUUUUUUUUCUGCCUUUUGGGUGUCUCCUGCCUUAAAAAAAGAAGAGGUUGUUUAUAGAUUUACUUGUACUUAUUUUGGUGCAUUUCAAUUGCAAUUUUUUAGAAUAAUCUUACAAUAAUUAUUCAAUUAUAAUAAAAAAUUACAUGGCAUUCAUCACUUAUAAGAAUGAAUUUUAUAUAAAAUUAUAAUACAAUUAUGAAUUUGGAUUGACUAAUUAUAAAGCAAGUAGGUGAUAUGAUAUCAUGUUAAUAACAUUCGAUAAUUGAAGUUAUUUCCUUAAUAAAGGUGCGUAAAAAGGAGUCAAUGAAAUUACAUGUAGAGCAAGACUUGGGCAGGGAUUUAAAUAAUGGUGGGGAUGCGGUAUAGAAGUUACGGUUUUAACUUCUUCCGAUAUUGAUAUUCACCAUAAUUAGGGCGUGAGUUUUAUUCACAUAUUUAGGGAUCCGUUACGGUCAUAAAAUAACAUAUUUAGUUGUCCAUUAUGAUCGUAAAAUAACGUGAUUGUGGAAGUGGAAAAUAAUGGACUUAAUGGAAUGUUACAGUCGCUGUUGUCGCUAUUAUUUUUGUUUUUUCAAAUGAAAAUUGCAUUAUAUCAAGGAACAAAACAUUUCUAGAAUAAAGAAAAAUCGUAUAUCUAAAUUAAUUCAACAAAUUAAAGCUUCAAUCAAGUUAAAAUAACGAAUUAAUUCAUAGUGUUGGGCUUUAUUUCAAAGUAACAAGUAUU
RNAcentral lists this long non-coding RNA (1355 nucleotides) under Durio zibethinus. Its description in RNAcentral is "long non-coding RNA (DZIB_LNC000031)". Lineage: Eukaryota; Viridiplantae; Streptophyta; Magnoliopsida; Malvales; Malvaceae. The record is from RNAcentral.